RNAcentral lists this ribosomal RNA (550 nucleotides) under uncultured bacterium. RNAcentral's name for it is "bacterial SSU rRNA". It matches the Rfam family "Bacterial small subunit ribosomal RNA", at positions 40 to 635 of the family's 1533-position model. The record is from RNAcentral.
CGGCAGGCUUACACAUGCAAGUCGAGCGGGCGUAGCAAUACGUCAGCGGCAGACGGGUGAGUAACGCGUGGGAACGUACCUCUUGGUUCGGAACAACACAGGGAAACUUGUGCUAAUACCGGAUAAGCCCUUACGGGGAAAGAUUUAUCGCCGAAAGAUCGGCCCGCGUCUGAUUAGCUAGUUGGUGAGGUAACGGCUCACCAAGGCGACGAUCAGUAGCUGGUCUGAGAGGAUGAUCAGCCACAUUGGGACUGAGACACGGCCCAAACUCCUACGGGAGGCAGCAGUGGGGAAUAUUGGACAAUGGGCGCAAGCCUGAUCCAGCCAUGCCGCGUGAGUGAUGAAGGCCCUAGGGUUGUAAAGCUCUUUUGUGCGGGAAGAUAAUGACGGUACCGCAAGAAUAAGCCCCGGCUAACUUCGUGCCAGCAGCCGCGGUAAUACGAAGGGGGCUAGCGUUGCUCGGAAUCACUGGGCGUAAAGGGUGCGUAAGCGGGUCUUUAAGUCAGGGGUGAAAUCCUGCAGCUCAACUCCAGAACUGCCUUUGAUACUG